RNAcentral lists this unclassified non-coding RNA (334 nucleotides) under soil metagenome. RNAcentral describes it as "partial contains 5.8S ribosomal RNA, internal transcribed spacer 2, and large subunit ribosomal RNA". The stretch from base 1 to 120 matches the Rfam family "5.8S ribosomal RNA", at positions 35 to 154 of the family's 154-position model. The record is from RNAcentral.
GAUGAAGAACGCAGCGAAAUGCGAUAAGUAAUGUGAAUUGCAGAAUUCAGUGAAUCAUCGAAUCUUUGAACGCACAUUGCGCCCCCCAGUAUUCUGGCGGGCAUGCCUGUUCGAGCGUCAUUUCAACCAUCAAGCCCUGCUUGUGUUGGGGUCCUGCGGCUGCCCGCAGGCCCUGAAAACCAGUGGCGGGCUCGCUAGUCACACCGAGCGCAGUAGCACAUCUCGCCCAGGGCGUGCGGCGGGCUCCAGCCGUUAAAGCACCCACCUUUCGCAAGGUUGACCUCGGAUCAGGUAGGAAUACCCGCUGAACUUAAGCAUAUCAAUAAGCGGAGGA